UUACGUGACGAAGCGCGUGGCAAAGUAGACAAUAAAGCCUGAGCUUUAAGCAAGUCGCCAGACGCCGGUUAAGCCGGCGUUUUUUU
This is a small RNA of Citrobacter koseri ATCC BAA-895, 86 nucleotides long. It matches the Rfam family "sroD RNA". From Rfam's summary of the family: This family consists of a number of bacterial sroD RNA genes of around 90 bases in length. sroD is found in several Enterobacterial species but its function is unknown. NCBI's taxonomy places the organism in Bacteria, Pseudomonadati, Pseudomonadota, Gammaproteobacteria, Enterobacterales, Enterobacteriaceae. The record is from Rfam.